UGGGCUAUCAUGGCUUCACGGUUAAAAAUCGAUUUUAAGAAUGUGUGGGCCAAAAACUGACAUUUAAGUGGUAAGGUUUGUUCCAAAACAUGAGUGUAUGU
Molecule: long non-coding RNA, 101 nt
Organism: Bradysia coprophila
Lineage: Eukaryota; Metazoa; Arthropoda; Insecta; Diptera; Sciaridae
Source: RefSeq, a predicted model, not a curated record